ACGAACGCUGGCGGCAUGCCUAACACAUGCAAGUCGAACGAACCCUUCGGGGUUAGUGGCGCACGGGUGCGUAACGCGUGGGAAUCUGCCCUUUGCUUCGGAACAACAGUUAGAAAUGACUGCUAAUACCGGAUGAUGUCGCAAGACCAAAGAUUUAUCGGCAAAGGAUGAGCCCGCGUAGGAUUAGGUAGUUGGUGAGGUAAAGGCUCACCAAGCCGACGAUCCUUAGCUGGUCUGAGGGGAUGAUCAGCCACACUGGGACUGAGACACGGCCCAGACUCCUACGGGAGGCAGCAGUGGGGAAUAUUGGACAAUGGGCGAAAGCCUGAUCCAGCAAUGCCGCGUGAGUGAUGAAGGCCUUAGGGUUGUAAAGCUCUUUUACCAGGGAUGAUAAUGACAGUACCUGGAGAAUAAGCUCCGGCUAACUCCGU
This 431-nucleotide ribosomal RNA is filed under the name uncultured bacterium. Its description in RNAcentral is "bacterial SSU rRNA". It matches the Rfam family "Bacterial small subunit ribosomal RNA", at positions 29 to 506 of the family's 1533-position model. The record is from RNAcentral.